CAGCAGCCACGGUAAUACGUAGGUGGCAAGCGUUAUCUGGAAUUAUUGGGCGUAAAGCGCGCGUAGGCGGUUUCUUAAGUCUGAUGUGAAAGCCCACGGCUCAACCGUGGAGGGUCAUUGGAAACUGGGAAACUUGAGUGCAGAAGAGGAAAGUGGAAUUCCAUGUGUAGCGGUGAAAUGCGCAGAGAUAUGGAGGAACACCAGUGGCGAAGGCGACUUUCUGGUCUGUAACUGACGCUGAUGUGCGAAAGCGUGGGGAUCAAACAGGAUUAGAUACCCGUGUAGUCCCUGUCUCUUAUAC
Molecule: ribosomal RNA, 301 nt
Filed under: uncultured bacterium
Lineage: Bacteria
Description: partial 16S ribosomal RNA
Rfam family: Bacterial small subunit ribosomal RNA
Source: RNAcentral